GUUGAGGAUUAACUUGUGGAUACUCCAUAGAUUAGGAUAGAAUAUCUCAUAGGUCUUGAACUUCUCAAGUUCAAUUAUCCUCCCACUGUCUCCUUCUUAGAAUUUUUUUUUCCCUAAACGGCAGCAUACCUAUUGACAAAACAUUUUUGUCAAGUAGUGUGGUAGAAGUAGUAUCACAUACUACUCUUAGAAUAAUCUAUAAACUAAUACAAAAUUUGAUCUAGCAC
RNAcentral lists this long non-coding RNA (227 nucleotides) under Elaeis guineensis (African oil palm). RNAcentral's name for it is "long non-coding RNA (EGUI_LNC035707)". The record is from RNAcentral. Lineage: Eukaryota; Viridiplantae; Streptophyta; Magnoliopsida; Arecales; Arecaceae.